GACGAACGCUGGCGGCGUGCUUAACACAUGCAAGUCGAACGGUGAAAGCGGAGCUUGCUCCGCUGGAUCAGUGGCGAACGGGUGAGUAACACGUGGGCAACCUGCCCCUGACUUCGGGAUAACUCCUCGAAAGAGGUGCUAAUACCGGAUACGAAUCCUGCAGGCAUCUGCGGGAUUGGAAAGUUUUUCGGUCAGGGAUGGGCCCGGGGGCUAUCAGCUUGUUGGUGAGGUAGUGGCUCACCAAGGCGACGACGGGUAGCCGGCCCGAGAGGGCUACCGGAGACACUGGGACUGAGGCCCGGCCCAGACUCCUACGGGAGGCAGCAGUGGGGAAUAUUGCGCAAUGGGCGAAAGCCUGACGCAGCAACGCCGCGUGAGGGAUGACGGCCUUCGGGUUGUAAACCUCUUUCAGCAGGGAAGAAGCGAAAGUGACGGUACCUGCAGAAGAAGCACCGGCUAACUACGUGCCAGCCGCCGCAGUAA
Molecule: ribosomal RNA, 483 nt
Filed under: uncultured bacterium
Lineage: Bacteria
Description: partial 16S ribosomal RNA
Rfam family: Bacterial small subunit ribosomal RNA
Source: RNAcentral